AGUUGUUCUAGGGUGGAACCCAGACCCCGGCAAUUGCAAUAGCUUCCCAGGUGAUUCCAGUGAACAGGUGGGCGAGAUAACAACCGCAGGCUGGGGAGUUGAUCUGAGAAUGGGCUUACAAAUACAGCCCCUGGUUAUGAUCAGGACAGGUCCUAAGCAUGUGACGUCUAGACGUCUCAAAAGACUUCAAGUUCUGGUUCUUCCAAUCCCAACAUGCAAUGUUCAAGAUUUUGAGUAUGACUUUGCUAUUGAUUUUUCAAAAUGUCUUCUGUCUCAUCUUGGCCCCCGAAGCAGCCAGUUUAGAAGCUUUGGAUCUAGUAAUUGUCAUGAACACAAAGAAUCACAAACAGCCAAGUUAUUUUCCACAUCUAUCCGAUGGAAGAGUAUCCUGAUUGUAAUCAAGACCAGAAGUUUAGUCCAGGUUGUUAGCUUGUGCUUCCAAAUCUCUGAUUUCAACUGGCCCCCAGAAUCUCUGGUUAACUGAAGUCUAACAAAAGGAAAUGAGUCUCUGUCACCGAGCUGUUAAAAGGUCAACAAGAGUGACAGCUUCACCAUCUCAAUUGCAGAUUUUCAGCUAAAAGCCAGCUGAUGUCAAGUUGAAGUCAAAACUGAGACCUCAUCAUAAUAAACAGAUUGUCAAAACAGCAAAGAAUUGCACAGCUUAGAAUAGGAAACACAGGAGGCUGGCUUUGUGUCAAUUUGAGGGCAUGACAUUGAGCAAGGGGGCCCUCAAAAACCCAACCUACUGCUUUGUCAUUCUAACGCUACUCUUUUGAUCUUGAAAGUUUGUUGGUCUUCCAUACAUAACUCCAGAGAGAGAGGAAAGAGACACUAUGUUUACUGUCCAUGGCUUUCAAUUACCUUAUUAAUUUUGAUAUCUGUGUGACUAUAGAAGUAGUAGAAACAACUCGAAAGAAGUAGCAGAAACUUGGCAUUAGAUGAUCGCGUAUCAACAAAUAGAAAAUGAUGUUGAUGGUGGAAAUGCAAACUAAGGAUGAAAUCAGUUUAUUUGCAAUUAUUCUUAAUUAAAACUAUGCCUUGCAAGUUAGAUCUCCAGGACAGACAUAUAAAUUUAGAAAGAAACUGAAAAAAAUUAUAAAGUGAAUGGAAGACAUUAUUGGGAAGGGGCUUUU
RNAcentral lists this long non-coding RNA (1133 nucleotides) under Equus caballus (horse). Its description in RNAcentral is "lncRNA (ENSECAG00000057948.1)". The record is from RNAcentral. Lineage: Eukaryota; Metazoa; Chordata; Mammalia; Perissodactyla; Equidae.